CAUCAAGGACAGAAGGUGCACCAGCAUGAGUAUUGUGGUCUUCAGCAACUUGUUUUCUUUUUGAGUGUUUAAUAAGAUACAAUGUAACCAUCAGCUGUUAAGAAUGAAUUCAGAUAUGUGCCUAGAGAGUUAAAGCUGGGGUUAAUAACUAGAAACUAAAGAAGGUACGCUAAUUGCACAGGAGCACAUACACAGGCAACGUAGAAAGGUUGAUGGGUAAUAUAUCCUAAGAACAUAACUCUUUUUCCCAGUGAUAAUUUUUUGAGCAAUUCUUUCUUUGUGAAUGUCCCAAUACACUGGUUAUGCAGUCCUCAUGGAAUGGAUGAUAUAAAGUAUAAAUGAAAGCCACAUAAUUGUUUGAAAUAACCUGGUCUUGAACAAACAGAUUCAUGUACAGAAAAUGCUUCCCAUGCAAGUUACAUCCUGCUCCAUAUGCCAUGUCAGACUAACAUCCUGCUCCAUAUGCCAUGCAAGUCUGACAUGAUCUUACAAGGCACCAUUAUGUUCAGGAUUCCAUAACAAGAAUGGCCUAAAACACAAUUUCACGUGAUACAGCACAACCAGUUUGUACACAUAGCAACCCUAACUGAUAUUUUGAUGUCAACUUCUAUCAAAUGGAUUUAUGGUUUUGAACCUUGGAUAGGUUAAUAUCAGAUGGAAAAUACUAUCUAGCUUUAGUUGGUCACACUAAUCUGCCUCCCAAUCAGUAAAGCACCUUUACAACCUUACAAAACUUCUGACAAAUACAAAAAUUUGAAUCACUGUUUAUAUACAGUCAAAAUAAACCUCAAGUAAGGUUUUGCACUUUUCCGCAUUAUUUUAUCUUUUCUUGGCUAAUCCUCAUACUUUAUUAUCCUUUACUAUAUUCAAUUUGAUAGGUAUUUUGAAAUGUAGUUAAUAGCAUGCCUAGCCUCAAGAGGAGGCAACUUCAUCAAAGCAUUAAAAAAAUAUGCCUUGGGCAUGCCAUAGAAGAUGCAUGCUUUCAUAAUUCUUACGUGUUGUAUGUGUGUAUUUGAUUGUCCCUGACUGCAAAUGUGUUAUGUGCAUGCACCCUAUGCCGUGAUGACUGCGUAUUUGUGAGACUGUUUAUGAGUGUAGUUCAAGUUAUCUAGGUGCUUUAUGUGUCUUCAUGCAUGUUCUGUUUGAUUGUGCAAUUUUGUUAACAGAUAUAUUAACAUGAAGAAUUCAUUAUAUGUAUGUGUAUGGGCAUGUGCAUCUGUAUUUCACCUAACUCCAUCAGGACAUGCAACUUGCUUUGCACCUCACAACUAGUCUUCAAGAGACCUUGGCACCUCAACAGACCUUAAGAUUCAAUAACUUUGCCUAGAGUCAGCACUUCAACUCUUGACAACAUUCAUCAAAUGCAAUCUUGAUGAUAGUGAAAAGGGGAGAGUGGAGUGGCUCGAAUCCUGAUUGCAGGUUAGAAGAGAUAAUGAAGGAAGUGAUAAAUUAUUAUUUAGUAACACUUUGCAUACUGUAGAACUUGACCUCAAACAAAAAAUGGCACUACAUGAUUCAUAAAUCCAGCAUUUACACUAGAUGGGAUGAGGAUGGUUUGUUUCAUUUCAGUUUAUAAGAAGCAAUAAAGAUCUCAAAUAGGGCUACAACAAGUAUUUAAGAAUCACCAUAUUCAUGAAUCACUGAAAAUAAAUACCACAGCUUUUCUUUCCAAAUAUAUUUAGAACAGAAAUGCCAAGAAUCUCAUAUUAAUAAAUCCAAUGAUUUCUACUUUUUCUUAAUUUUCAAAUAAACAGAAGUUCAGUGAUCCAAUUUUCUUAGCUUAUAAUUGUCUUCUGGUUGAAGAUAGAUCAACAUUAGAUGUUAGAUAAAAGGCAUCUUAAUAAUUAUUCCCCUGAGUUUGCUCUUCAUCUUUCAAUAAAAAGCAGUAGCUAAACCUUCAACUAAUCACACUACAUCUUGGAUCAAAAUAUUAGAUUUUUAAUUUCAAGAAACCAUAUCAGAUAGUGUGAACUGACCAUAUCACUGCAUUCUAGAACCAGAAAAGGAUUCCAACCAACUGAGAGAAGCUAGAGUAUGUAAAGCCAUAAAGGUUUCAAAAAUGAAAAAUUCUCCUGGGGUAACGUAUCUGCUAUUUUCAUGAUAACGUGUAAACUCGUAUUACUUAAAAUCAAGGAGCUAAAUUGGUCCUUUAACCUCUAGCCUGCAUCUAAAAUACAUGGACCUGGUAUGUCUGUUGUACUCAAGUGGCAGUCCAAUUAUGCACACCUUUUAGCAUGUAAGUAUACUUCAUAACAAUUUAUUGCCAAAUGACAACUCAAUAAUCAUGUCUAAGUGCUGGGUGCAAAUAUUUAAGGUUAAAUUAGGGCAUUCGGGCAACAUAUAUGGUUAUGUUCUUCAGUUCUUUUACACUUUAUUUAUGUUCUUCAUAAAUCAUAUUCAAUUUGGAUAAGAGCUACAUCUCAUGGAGUGGGGACUAAUUCAAAAUUAUAUAGCUAAGCAGCUAGCUGUCACAUCAUAUAAAGAACUUAUGUAGAAGGAACCAAAACAAUGUCUUAGAACUAAGCCAUUUCAUGCGUGAAAUCAUGCUAGUGGUAAAUUGAGCUUAAAAAACAAAAAGCAAAGUAAAAAAUGAAUGGAAUAAAAUUGGUCUCUAAGCCCUAUCCAGAGCACAUCACUCUCUUGCAUUAUUUUCAAACUUUAUUACAGGUCAGAACUUGCACAAAUGGAGCAUUUAAAUUACCAACUCAUAAAGACACUUUUGUUCAUCCACCUCAACCAUUGUAUGUUCACAAAAAUUGGAAGUUUGGAAACAGUUCGACAAUCUUUACUUGCAAAUCGAGAACUAAAGAUUCAAAUCUACCACAAUCUGAUAUGCAGAAUAGUUGUUGUUGGUCCUAAAUAUAACUUCUGAAGUUUUCCAUCAAACAAAAAACAAAAUCGAUUUAAAAAAUCCAAUGAUGCCAAAAAAACACCUAAUCAAAACAAAUACCAGUAUGGAGCAAAUAAAAUGCUGACAGAAAGUAAAGGACAAUCACAUAUUUACUUCCAUUCAGCAACUAAAGCAUUAUCUUUUCUCAUUUGCUUUCGAAAUCAUGCAUCUCAUCCACAAUCAAAGGAUUCUAAAAUUUCAUUAAGAAAAGCAAGUUCAGGGUAUCAAUCAAGAAAAUCUGUUUUCACAAAGCAUUAUAGACUUGGCACAGAU
Molecule: long non-coding RNA, 3163 nt
Filed under: Elaeis guineensis (African oil palm)
Lineage: Eukaryota; Viridiplantae; Streptophyta; Magnoliopsida; Arecales; Arecaceae
Description: long non-coding RNA (EGUI_LNC034263)
Source: RNAcentral